RNAcentral lists this unclassified non-coding RNA (334 nucleotides) under soil metagenome. Its description in RNAcentral is "partial contains 5.8S ribosomal RNA, internal transcribed spacer 2, and large subunit ribosomal RNA". The stretch from base 1 to 120 matches the Rfam family "5.8S ribosomal RNA", at positions 35 to 154 of the family's 154-position model. The record is from RNAcentral.
GAUGAAAAACGUAGCGAAAUGCGAUAAGUAAUGUGAAUUGCAGAAUUCAGUGAAUCAUCGAAUCUUUGAACGCACAUUGCGCCCGCCAGUAUUCUGGCGGGCAUGCCUGUUCGAGCGUCAUUUCAACCAUCAAGCCCUGCUUGCGUUGGGGUCCUGCGGCUGCCCGCAGGCCCUGAAAACCAGUGGCGGGCUCGCUAGUCACACCGAGCGCAGUAAUACAUCUCGCUUUGGGCGUGCGGCGGGUUCUUGCCGUUAAACACCCCCUUUUUACCAAGGUUGACCUCGGAUCAGGUAGGAAUACCCGCUGAACUUAAGCAUAUCAAUAAGCGGAGGA